This 253-nucleotide ribosomal RNA is filed under the name uncultured bacterium. RNAcentral describes it as "partial 16S ribosomal RNA". It matches the Rfam family "Bacterial small subunit ribosomal RNA", at positions 524 to 776 of the family's 1533-position model. The record is from RNAcentral.
UACAGAGGGUGCGAGCGUUAAUCGGAAUUACUGGGCGUAAAGCGUGCGUAGACGGUAAUGUAAGUCAGAUGUGAAAGCCCCGGGCUCAACCUGGGAAUUGCAUUUGAGACUGCAUUGCUUGGGUGCGGAAGAGGGAAGCGGAAUUUCCGGUGUAGCGGUGAAAUGCGUAGAUAUCGGAAGGAACACCAGUGGCGAAGGCGGCAUCCUGGACCAACACUGACACUGAUGAGCGAAAGCCAGGGGAGCAAACGGG